This 1491-nucleotide ribosomal RNA is filed under the name Lactiplantibacillus pentosus. RNAcentral's name for it is "bacterial SSU rRNA". It matches the Rfam family "Bacterial small subunit ribosomal RNA". The record is from RNAcentral. Lineage: Bacteria; Bacillati; Bacillota; Bacilli; Lactobacillales; Lactobacillaceae.
GACGAACGCUGGCGGCGUGCCUAAUACAUGCAAGUCGAACGAACUCUGGUAUUGAUUGGUGCUUGCAUCAUGAUUUUCAUUUGAGUGAGUGGCGAACUGGUGAGUAACACGUGGGAAACCUGCCCAGAAGCGGGGGAUAACACCUGGAAACAGAUGCUAAUACCGCAUAACAACUUGGACCGCAUGGUCCGAGUUUGAAAGAUGGCUUCGGCUAUCACUUUUGGAUGGUCCCGCGGCGUAUUAGCUAGAUGGUGGGGUAACGGCUCACCAUGGCAAUGAUACGUAGCCGACCUGAGAGGGUAAUCGGCCACAUUGGGACUGAGACACGGCCCAAACUCCUACGGGAGGCAGCAGUAGGGAAUCUUCCACAAUGGACGAAAGUCUGAUGGAGCAACGCCGCGUGAGUGAAGAAGGGUUUCGGCUCGUAAAACUCUGUUGUUAAAGAAGAACAUAUCUGAGAGUAACUGUUCAGGUAUUGACGGUAUUUAACCAGAAAGCCACGGCUAACUACGUGCCAGCAGCCGCGGUAAUACGUAGGUGGCAAGCGUUGUCCGGAUUUAUUGGGCGUAAAGCGAGCGCAGGCGGUUUUUUAAGUCUGAUGUGAAAGCCUUCGGCUCAACCGAAGAAGUGCAUCGGAAACUGGGAAACUUGAGUGCAGAAGAGGACAGUGGAACUCCAUGUGUAGCGGUGAAAUGCGUAGAUAUAUGGAAGAACACCAGUGGCGAAGGCGGCUGUCUGGUCUGUAACUGACGCUGAGGCUCGAAAGUAUGGGUAGCAGACAGGAUUAGAUACCCUGCUAGUCCAUACCGUAAACGAUGAAUGCUAAAGGUGUUGGAGGGUUUCCGCCCUUCAGUGCUGCAGCUAACGCAUUAAGCAUUCCGCCUGGGGAGUACGGCCGCAAGGCUGAAACUCAAAGGAAUUGACGGGGGCCCGCACAAGCGGUGGAGCAUGUGGUUUAAUUCGAAGCUACGCGAAGAACCUUACCAGGUCUUGACAUACUAUGCAAAUCUAAGAGAUUAGACGUUCCCUUCGGGGACAUGGAUACAGGUGGUGCAUGGUUGUCGUCAGCUCGUGUCGUGAGAUGUUGGGUUAAGUCCCGCAACGAGCGCAACCCUUAUUAUCAGUUGCCAGCAUUAAGUUGGGCACUCUGGUGAGACUGCCGGUGACAAACCGGAGGAAGGUGGGGAUGACGUCAAAUCAUCAUGCCCCUUGUGACCUGGGCUACACACGUGCUACAAUGGAUGGUACAACGAGUUGCGAACUCGCGAGAGUAAGCUAAUCUCUUAAAGCCAUUCUCAGUUCGGAUUGUAGGCUGCAACUCGCCUACAUGAAGUCGGAAUCGCUAGUAAUCGCGGAUCAGCAUGCCGCGGUGAAUACGUUCCCGGGCCUUGUACACACCGCCCGUCACACCAUGAGAGUUUGUAACACCCAAAGUCGGUGGGGUAACCUUUUAGGAACCAGCCGCCUAAGGUGGGACAGAUGAUUAGGGUG